GUCAGCAGCCAUAUCACCCUGCAGCCCAAGACUGGUUGCCCACUGAAGCUAAGCAGGGUUGAGCCUGGUCAGUACCUGGAUGGGAGACCUCCUGAGAAAACUAGGUUGCUGCUGGAA
RNAcentral lists this ribosomal RNA (117 nucleotides) under Sinocyclocheilus anshuiensis. Lineage: Eukaryota; Metazoa; Chordata; Actinopteri; Cypriniformes; Cyprinidae. The record is from RNAcentral.